AGCUGUACGGUGAGCUCUAAGCGAACUAUUCUUUAGCCUUUUACUAAAGAAUAUUGAGUGCUCGUAGCCCAAAGUGGCAAACCAUUAUUUUUGGAGGCGUAAUUCCUUUUCUGGAGUGG
Non-coding RNA from Gossypium arboreum, 119 nucleotides. The record is from Rfam. NCBI's taxonomy places the organism in Eukaryota, Viridiplantae, Streptophyta, Magnoliopsida, Malvales, Malvaceae.